This is a long non-coding RNA of Phacochoerus africanus (Common warthog), 487 nucleotides long. RefSeq lists it as uncharacterized. The record is from RefSeq and is a predicted model, not a curated record. The transcript is spliced from 3 exons. Lineage: Eukaryota; Metazoa; Chordata; Mammalia; Artiodactyla; Suidae.
CACAACCGGUAAAUUCAGUUCUGCCAUUAAUAAGGGGAAACAAUACAAAAUAAGGACAAGGAAAGCAGUUCCUAAAGAAAAGGCCUGUGAAAGAUUUAGCAAAUCACAAGCAUGAAGUUUUGAAGGAAAGUGUUAGAAGGUCACUUAGAAGACUGAAAAAUACAGACUGAAUCUCUGUUCCACCUGUGCAUCUUACUCUCCAUCAAUCAGCACAUCAUCCAAGGGAAAGUGUGGUGCCUCCAGGACACGUGUCACCCCACUACAUGUGGUUUCCUGUCAGUCUGGAGGUUCCUGCUUCUCUUUGUCUGCCCAAGGACCCCUGUUGUUUACAGGAUGUAUGGUUUCCUGCCAUUUGGCCUGUGUCUCCCUUUCUCUGCUCACAUCUAGCUAUCGACCUGCUCUAAUAUAUAUAUACUUAGUGACUGUAUUUUCUAAAUCAAAAAUUGGAGUGCAUUGUCUAGAAAUGGAAUAAAAUCUUUUAAGUCUU